CCAACGGCUCUUUUCAGAGCCACCUACGUAACUCAAAAGAGCUUGG
This is a regulatory RNA element of Neotoma lepida (desert woodrat), 46 nucleotides long. It matches the Rfam family "Histone 3' UTR stem-loop". Rfam says of the family: The mRNAs of metazoan histone genes lack a poly-A tail. The record is from Rfam. NCBI's taxonomy places the organism in Eukaryota, Metazoa, Chordata, Mammalia, Rodentia, Cricetidae.